AGGCCCCCAGCCGGCGCUAACGAGGGAACGAGUGCCAGGUGCCGCUGGGCCGCGGCCGCCAGGGCUCAGCUGCGCCUCGUUCGCAGCCGGGGGUGGGUCCGCCCCAGACGCCUCUUAAGCUCCUCCGGAGGCCGCAGGGAGCCAUCAGACGGCUCCGGGAUCUCAUAGAGCACGGAUGUCGGCGUGGGCUCCGCUCCUUCGUCGGGUUGCGGUGGGACGUGUGCCGGUGAAGAUGAGCCCGAACCGGUGAGCCGUUCAGGUCGAGCAUCUCGUCAGCCCGAAGAGGCGAGCGUUCGGGAGCCGCUAGGGAGACGCGGCGGCACGGCUCGCACGACCGGCCCGCCGUUGAGGAUCGCUGCGUUCUUUUCCGUAACUCCUUGAGCUCUGCCUAAGCAAGAAGUAGGGGAGCCCCGGGGCGCCUCACCCAGUCGAGGCGCUGCCGGAGCUCGUAUUCCCGGUCUAAGAAGGGUUCGCGGGCGAUGAGGUGAAGUUUGGGAUUUGACCGGGAAGCCGCAAGGCAGUAAGUAUGUUAUAUUGGAGCACCACAUCCAAAGGGCUUCUGGAAAGAUCCCAGGGCGUG
This is a long non-coding RNA of Coturnix japonica (Japanese quail), 580 nucleotides long. RefSeq lists it as uncharacterized. Lineage: Eukaryota; Metazoa; Chordata; Aves; Galliformes; Phasianidae. The record is from RefSeq and is a predicted model, not a curated record.